RNAcentral lists this non-coding RNA (35 nucleotides) under Geobacter sulfurreducens PCA. Lineage: Bacteria; Pseudomonadati; Thermodesulfobacteriota; Desulfuromonadia; Geobacterales; Geobacteraceae. The record is from RNAcentral.
UUUUAUGCCAAAUGUACGGACAUUGCAAGUUAAUC